This 820-nucleotide ribosomal RNA is filed under the name Zaanenomyces versatilis. RNAcentral describes it as "partial large subunit ribosomal RNA". It matches the Rfam family "Eukaryotic large subunit ribosomal RNA", at positions 80 to 920 of the family's 3401-position model. Lineage: Eukaryota; Fungi; Ascomycota; Dothideomycetes; Tubeufiales; Tubeufiaceae. The record is from RNAcentral.
UUAGUAACGGCGAGUGAAGCGGCAACAGCUCAAAUUUGAAAUCUGGGCCUUUCAGGUCCCGAGUUGUAAUUUGUAGAGGAUGCUUCGGCUUACGCCCCGGUCUAAGUCCCUUGGAACAGGGCGUCACAGAGGGUGAGAACCCCGUACGUGGCCGGCGGCUUCCGCCAUGUGAAGCUCCUUCGACGAGUCGAGUUGUUUGGGAAUGCAGCUCAAAAUGGGAGGUAAAUUUCUCCUAAAGCUAAAUACUGGCCAGAGACCGAUAGCGCACAAGUAGAGUGAUCGAAAGAUGAAAAGCACUUUGGAAAGAGAGUUAAAAAGUACGUGAAAUUGUUGAAAGGGAAGCGCUUGCGACCAGACUUGUCCGCGGUGGCUCCGCCGGUCCUUCGGCCGGUGUACUCCUCCGCGGGCAGGCCAGCAUCAGUUCGGGCGGCCGGAUAAAGGCCGUGGGAAAGUAGCUCCCCUCGGGGAGUGUUAUAGCCCGCGGUGCAAUGCGGCCCGCCUGGACUGAGGAACGCGCUUCGGCCAGGAUGCUGGCGUAAUGGUCGUAAGCGGCCCGUCUUGAAACACGGACCAAGGAGUCUAACAUCUAUGCGAGUGUUUGGGUGUCAAACCCGUGCGCGAAAUGAAAGUGAACGGAGGUGGGAGCCCUCGGGUGCACCAUCGACCGAUCCUGAUGUCUUCGGAUGGAUUUGAGUAAGAGCAUAGCUGUUGGGACCCGAAAGAUGGUGAACUAUGCCUGAAUAGGGUGAAGCCAGAGGAAACUCUGGUGGAGGCUCGCAGCGGUUCUGACGUGCAAAUCGAUCGUCAAAUUUGGGUAUAG